UGGGAAUUUGGACAAUGGGCGAAAGCCUGAUCCAGCAAUGCCGCGUGUGUGAAGAAGGCCUUCGGGUUGUAAAGCACUUUUGUCCGGAAAGAAAUCCUUGGCUCUAAUACAGUCGGGGGAUGACGGUACCGGGAGAAUAAGCACCGGCUAACUACGUGCCAGCAGCCGCGGUAAUACGUAGGGUGCAAGCGUUAAUCGGAAUUACUGGGCGUAAAGCGUGCGCAGGCGGUUUGCUAAGACCGAUGUGAAAUCCCCGGGCUCAACCUGGGAGCUGCAUUGGUGACUGGCAGGCUAGAGUAUGGCAGAGGGGGGUAGAAUUCCACGUGUAGCAGUGAAAUGCGUAGAGAUGUGGAGGAAUACCGAUGGCGAAGGCAGCCCCCUGGCAAGUACUGACGCUCAUGCACGAAAGCGUGGGGAGCAAACNGGAUUAAUACCCUGGUAGUCCACGCCCUAAANGAUGUCAACUAGUUGUUGGGGAUUCAUUUCCUAGUAACGUAGCUAACGCGUGAAGUUGACCGCC
Molecule: ribosomal RNA, 520 nt
Filed under: uncultured bacterium
Lineage: Bacteria
Description: partial 16S ribosomal RNA
Rfam family: Bacterial small subunit ribosomal RNA
Source: RNAcentral